This is a long non-coding RNA of Papilio machaon (common yellow swallowtail), 321 nucleotides long. RefSeq lists it as uncharacterized. NCBI's taxonomy places the organism in Eukaryota, Metazoa, Arthropoda, Insecta, Lepidoptera, Papilionidae. The transcript has 3 exons. The record is from RefSeq and is a predicted model, not a curated record.
GCGUCGGAUUGGACUGGUCGUGUCCGUGUGUCUCCUGCUACAACCCGUCGAACAUUACGCGACCCGAGACCCGAGUUUGUCGGUGUGUCCGGUGCGCGGGCGCCGGAGCGAGACGUUCCGGUCUGCCAGCUGCAGCGCUGAUGUUUCGACACUACAUACAAUGGUGGAUCUGGUGAGAUAUGAAGUGCGGCGCUUGCCGUGAUCGGCGGAGCGACGCGCCCUCUCGUUCCACGCCGCCGCCCACCCGGUCGACAACCUGCAGCUACAGGUACCAACGGUGAAACGCCAUCUCUUAUGAUUAUCUUAUCUAGAUAAAAAUAA